Molecule: non-coding RNA, 197 nt
Filed under: Marinobacter sp.
Lineage: Bacteria; Pseudomonadati; Pseudomonadota; Gammaproteobacteria; Pseudomonadales; Marinobacteraceae
Source: RNAcentral
GUUUGCAGGUGUUGUUAUGGCUCCAUCUUCGCCAUAACAGUGAAACGGGAAGCCGGUUAAAGUCCGGCACUGCCCCCGCAACGGUAAGUGAGUGACCAGCGACGAUGGAUGCCACUGUGCAACAGCAUGGGAAGGCGUGCGCCGGUCAGCAGUUUCAGCUCACGAGUCCGGAGACCGGCCUGUAAACACACCGAACG